This is a small nuclear RNA of Scophthalmus maximus (turbot), 135 nucleotides long. NCBI's taxonomy places the organism in Eukaryota, Metazoa, Chordata, Actinopteri, Pleuronectiformes, Scophthalmidae. The record is from Ensembl.
AAAAAGGGCUUCUGCCGUGAUUGGCACAGGAAUCGUGGGUAACACCAUGUUUCUUGCGGAAUCGCUAUCAAGAGAUUUCGGAAGCAUAAUUUUUGAAAACUGGGGCUGCUAGUGAUCAUCUGUCCGGGCGCCCCA